Molecule: long non-coding RNA, 2935 nt
Filed under: Mizuhopecten yessoensis (Yesso scallop)
Lineage: Eukaryota; Metazoa; Mollusca; Bivalvia; Pectinida; Pectinidae
Description: uncharacterized LOC110461517, transcript variant X3
Source: RNAcentral
UUAAUGGAAAGUACGGUGACGCGUGUGACCUUGAUUGUUCUGACAACUGUAAAGGCAAAUCAUGCUGGAAGGAAAAUGGAUAUUGCCCAGAAUGCACUCCUGGAAUGUAUGGUCCAUACUGUUCAUCGAAUUGUCCGGGAACAUGCAAAGACAAUAGUUGUCAACAAAUCGAUGGAGUAUGCAAUGAAUGCGUACCUGGUCUGUAUGGCUCCGACUGUACUCAGACCUGUCCAGUCAGCUGUAAAGACAAGUGUGAAAGAAACACCGGAAAUUGCAAUGGAUCUGAUCUUGAUGGUUAUUGAAAAUACACAGCUGAACAGAGAAACAUAUAUCCAGAAAAUCGACUUUUUUUUACAAAAAUCGAGUCGAAAAUCAUCACAAUAAAGGAAAAGCUACAUGCCAACACCUAUGAUCUAUCACAUAUAUUAUCAAUAUGCAACUAAUAAAACUCCAAAUUAAAUCAUAUUGUUAUCAGAUAGCAAUAAAGGUAUGGUAUAUUUACCUAAUCAUUGACUGUGUUACAGCGUAACGGUAUUUUCUGAAUUCCGGUAAUUGUAUUUUAUCUGAUUGAACAGACAUAGACUAAUGAUUCUCACAUUUGUACUAAAAACCUUCAUAUCUGCAUUUAAACACAAUACAUAUUUAAUUUGUAAUUGAAGAUCAGCUGAUAAAAAAAAAAAUCUGAAAUAAAUAACCAGCUGAGAACCUGUACAAUCUGUAAUUGAUGUUUAGCAAUGCAUAUAUAAUUCAGUAAUAUAUAAUAAGCUGGCAAAAUCUGUCAGCAAUUAUCAGUUGGUGCGUAUACGAUUCUGUAAGUAGUUAUCAGUUGGUACGUACACGAUUCUGUAAGUAAUUAUCAGUUGGUACGUACACGAUUAUGUAAUUGAUCAUCAGCUGUUCCAUAUAUUCUGUUAUGAAGAAAACCAAAUUCGUAUAUGUGAAUAUGCGUUUAAUUUUGUAGUCUUUGAAGUUGGAAAUGUGGACUGACCUGCAAUCUGGCCUCUUCAAAAGUUAAUUGUAGAUUGUGCAAUGUGAACGGAUAAAUGACGUUGUAAAGGUUGGGGAAAUUCGUAGUUAUUAAAAAUCAUUGGUAAUUCAUCAACCGCUCCAAAAUGUCAUGACAUAGCGAAUUCAAAAUGUCCAUCUUAUGUUUAUUUUUUCAGCGGUUUUUGUAUAAACCCGUUUUCUGUGUCCUGCUCUGUAGUAAUUCAAAUAGCAUGCUGUAUAGCUACAUAUAUGAAUAUACAUAUAACAUGUUUUAAUUUGCCACAUUACACUGCGAAUAGUUUUAUCGGCAAAAUGCAAUCAGUAAAUCGUUUGCUUUUGAAUAAAAGCAUAUCAACUGAAAUGCAUUUGAUCACAUUAUUUAGAGUUACUGACAUGCCCGGACAACUGUAAAGCCAAACAGAUGAGAGAAUGGACACUCAACAUUUAUAUUAUCAGGCAAACAUUCUUAAGCUGUCAAGCACAAGGCUGCCCCUUGGGUUGAUAUCCCUCGAUUAUAGCCUAGUAAGGAUUAAAUAUUCUAGAAAUUCGUCAUAGGUGACCUGUUAAGUUCCAGUUUGUCAAAUACAGUUUUUGCUUAAUUUCUUUGUAAUUCUAUCCUAAUGGAGAAACAUUCCAUCCAUUUGUGUUAUAAUCUAUAUUAUAUUUAAAAGCUAUGAAGCUGGAAACUUCACCGACCACUGUGAUAGGAGUUGUCCGUCCACUUGUACAACAUACGUCUGUGACGUCAAUACACAGUACUGUACAGUACCACGCACACAGACAGUUUAAAACUACCACUGCGUUAGGGAUAGUGGUCGAAUAGGGAUUGACCAUUCUGGAUUUUUUGGUUGUAUUGGUCAUCAUAUUGGUUGAAGAAUCAAGGAGGCAGCAUUCCACUCCAAUGACAGAUAUGUCCCAGCCUGUGAGGUCACAGAAAAUGCAGAUGGUACAUAAGCCAAAAUAGGAUCCCAUACCAUGACACAACCUACCGAGACGAACAGAACCGAUAAAAAUUAAGAACAACUGGACUCUCUGAACAGAGAACCAACACAAGUCUGUUUGACUGCCUAGACGGUUGUUUAGUAAAUGUGAGGACAAAAGGUCAAACAAGAAGCUAAAUUUCGACUGCAUACUUUAUCAAAUCGGACAGCCAUGCUGUACAUUACGAUUGCACAAACUUCAACCUUUUUCAAAACGUUAAAUGCACAAAAAGUGUAAUGUCACUUUUUAGGACGUAAUACUAAAUGUUAUAGCAGUGACGUAAUUAUCAUCUAUGAUUUGUCCAAUUUUGAUGCUAGAUUCUUGUUAAGAAUGGUUUUGCCUGUAUGUGAUAAAAAUUGGGGAAGUUGAGAAAAAUGAAAACCCUUCAUUGUGAUUGGUCAACCCCUUUAUUAUGAUUGGUCAAGAAUGUGUAUCUAGCGCACAUUGCUUGAUUUAGUGAAAUACACUCAGAAGAGCUAGCAUGUAUUUUGAAAACUAAAUUGAUAGGUCAACUCAACGUAUCCUCUCUAUCAUAAUGAAACACAUACAUGUAAUACAAGACAGCUUGACAAUUCCAGACGAAGGAAUCAAAUGUUCUCAUGACACUGACUCAAUAAUGCAUGUUUACGUACGUAUUCAGUUGAUUUUUUAAUGUACAGUAGUAGGUCAUGGAUACAGUAAGUCAAAUAUCAUGCAAAGUAGUUUUUAAUUAACUCAUUUCUGAUUUACCUUCGUUUAUAUAUAGAAAUGACAACAGUUCAUUUAAGAUUUUAUUAAAAUACUCUGUGUACAUGUUUGUAAAUCUUCCUGUCAUUCUAUUUAUGCAUUUCCAGACUGACCACAUUUUAUUUUCCAUAUAUAUUAAACAAAUGCUUUAAAACAAUAUCUAUAAAUCCUAUGUUUGCUACUAUAGCUAUCGAGAAAUCGGUUUGCUUGGUGUUUUUUUGGUUUCUGUUAUCAUUCAUGA